Molecule: ribosomal RNA, 355 nt
Filed under: Diplotrema sp. Souita Falls
Lineage: Eukaryota; Metazoa; Annelida; Clitellata; Crassiclitellata; Megascolecidae
Description: partial 12S ribosomal RNA
Source: RNAcentral
UAUGAGUGGGAUAUUACGAAUAAUAAUUUUAAAUUCAAAGAAUUUGGCGGUGCUUUAUUUAACCAGGGGAACCUGUCUCAUAACUCGAUAGUCCACGCUGCCCCAGCCUCCUAUUGAUUAUCAGCCUGUAUACUGCCGUCGUAAGUAUACCUCUAAAAGAAAGUAUACCACUAUAAAUUAAAACUACACAUUUAUAUACGUCAGGUCGAAGUGCAGCUAAUGAGGGGGUGAGGAUGGGUUACAACCUAAAAAAGAUAUGGACUGUGGUACUAAAAACCGCAUAAAAUUGGACUUGGCUGUAAUUAUAUCUUAAUGAUAUAAUAAACAACAAUCUAAAGCAUGUACACAUCGCCCG